This 228-nucleotide unclassified non-coding RNA is filed under the name Hevea brasiliensis (rubber tree). Lineage: Eukaryota; Viridiplantae; Streptophyta; Magnoliopsida; Malpighiales; Euphorbiaceae. The record is from RNAcentral.
GAGUGUUUCAAACCUGCUCUAUGAUAGGGAAUGUUGAAACCUAUGAGUUGAAUGCAAGCAUUACAAAGAGGUUUCUGAGAAUGCUUCUGUCUAUUUUUUAUGGGAAGAUAUUUACUUUUUCACCGUAGGCGUCAAGGCGAUCGAAAUGUCCACUUCCACAAACUACAAAAAGCGUGUUUCAAACAUGCUCUAUGAAAGGGAAUGUUCACCUCUAUGUGUUGAAUGGAA